UGUACUUAAAGGGAGUACAUUGUUGAGAAGGACCGGUUGCAAAUUUCCAAAAAGGAGAGUAAAAUAAUUAAUGAGUCAAGGUCUCAGGAGAGACAGAAGGAUGACUUACAACUUCUCAAGUGUCUCCCUUUGUGGGAGGAAUCCCAGCUAUAGCCUAGUGGACCAUUCACCCAGGGAUCUUCAAUCAUUCAUUCAACCCUAACAUUUAUAUGCGCACCGGCUACAUGCUAGGCAGUGCGUCAGGCAUUAAAGAUACAGGGACGAAUACAGCAGACACGACCUCAGUCUUUGGAGAGUUUACCUUCUAUUGAGGAAGAUAGAUGAUAAACAAGUAAUAAAUACAUAAACAAAGUAAUUUCAGCUAGUUAUAAAUGCUAUGAAAAAAUAAUAGUGUUAUAUAAUAAAGAGUGACUGGGGAAUCUAUUUCACAUGGAGUGUUAAGUGAAGGACUUUUUGAAGAAGCGACAUUUGAGCUGUUACCUGUAUGAUACGAGACCAACAAUGUAACAAGCUGAGGGGAGAGCAUUCCAGGCAAAGGGAAAAGCAAAAACACAGCCUUGGGGUGGAAUGGAGUUUUAUUCUGUUUGCAGACCAGUAAGAAGGUCAUGUGGCUGGAGCUGAGUAAGCAAGGGGAAUAAUGGUGGGAGAAAUUACGCGGAGGAGGUAGCCAGGGGCUAGAUCAUGUAUAUAUUGCCAUGCAGGCCAUGGUAAGGACUUUGGAUUGUAUUCUGAGUACCAUGGGAAGCCACUGAAAAACCUUUGCCUAAGAUAAUGGGUUUCUGUUUUGCCUAAAGCAAAUUAACUUUUUACUGAAGUAUAGUAUACAUUACGGAAAAAGUACACAAAUCGUAAGCUUGAUGAAUUUUCAUGAUGUAAUCGCAUCCAUAUCACUAGCACCCAGGUCAAUAAACAGAUCAUUACCAGAACCCCAGAACCCUCCCUUAUGCCCCUUUCCAGUAACGCCCAUCCCCCAACCCACGGGUAACUACCAUCCUGACUUCUAUCACCAAAGAUUAGUUUUGCCUGUUUAUAUAAAACUUUAUAUAAUUGCAGUCACAAUAUGUAUUCAUUUGUGUCUGGCUUCUUUCAUUUACUAUUAUGUUUAGGAGUUUCAUCAUUGCUUAGCAAUAGUUUAUUGGUGCUAUAUGGAAGUUGAUUGCUUGAUCACACCACAGUUUAUCCAUUCUACUGUUGAUGGACAUAUGAGUAAUUGCCGGUUGGGACUACUACAAACAGUGCUGUUAUGAACAUUCUAUUACAUGUCUUUUGGUGAACAAAUAUAUUCACUCCUGUUUGAAAUAAACUUAAGAAUGGAACUUAUGGAUCAUAA
Molecule: non-coding RNA, 1330 nt
Filed under: Pongo abelii (Sumatran orangutan)
Lineage: Eukaryota; Metazoa; Chordata; Mammalia; Primates; Hominidae
Source: RNAcentral